CGACCUUGUCACCCACUGCCACCUGUUAUCCCGAGGGCCCCUCCAAGACACCUGCUGAGCCUGAGAGCUACCUGCAGAAGAUGCCACCCCCUGGGGCCCUGCUCACUCCUGGUUCAGUGAACAACCUAGACAACUGGCCCUGUCUGUUCUGCAGGGCCCAUGAGUGCCCACACACGAUUAGAACGGCUUUCCUGCCGGGAGUCUGACCACUCACAGCUCACUCAGAUUCCGUGCUGAGCCCAGGGCAGCGGGAGAGUCCUCUGGGCUCCAUGACCAGCGGGUCAGGGGCGGGACUUGGUUCCGGGUCCCAGUGCUGCUCCGAGCUUGGCUCUCCCUCCCCUCUGCUCUCCCAAGAGUGCACGUGGACAUUUUCCACCACGCACACAGGAGUGAACAAGACGGCUGUUUUCUUUUACUUCCUGUGACUUUCUGUCAACCUCUUCUUUUUGUGUGUGUGUCAACCUCGUCUUAACCUCAACCUAAGCAUCUUUCCCCACGGGACUCACAACCUGAAAAUCUCGCUCAUUUGUAGAUAAGACAAAUCAACCUGCACUGUAAGCUGUGAUGGUCUCCGUAGCUGGCAGCUGGCAGCUGGCAGCUUUACCCAGUGUGAGGGCGGUCGAACACUACGGUGAACAUUUAGGGUCAGAAGAGAGUACAACAGACACCACGCGCCCCUUACUAACCCUAAGCCAGCCGUGAAUAAGGCACCCCCUUGCCAAGCAGCUGCCCACCCCGAAGAUAAGGCCUCAAAGGCAGGUCAAGGGCAGUGAACGGGCAGAAAGCUCCACGGGGACCACGUCAGUCAGAGGCGCCCGGAAGCCAAGCCAGCUACGGCAGGUUCAUCCCUCCUGGAGCCCCCGCCCCGAUUCCUUCUUAACCAGCCAGCUGUCUUCUCCUUCUCUCUCCCCUUCCUUUUCCUCUUCACAAAUCAAAUGUCUUCCUUUCCUUAAACCCAGUCCCUCAGACUCGUUACUGGGGUUGAGCUCAUGAUCCCCACAGACUGCUC
Molecule: long non-coding RNA, 1009 nt
Filed under: Heterocephalus glaber (naked mole-rat)
Lineage: Eukaryota; Metazoa; Chordata; Mammalia; Rodentia; Bathyergidae
Description: lncRNA (ENSHGLG00000043330.1)
Source: RNAcentral